RNAcentral lists this long non-coding RNA (448 nucleotides) under Panax ginseng (ginseng). Its description in RNAcentral is "long non-coding RNA (PGIN_LNC010502)". The record is from RNAcentral. Lineage: Eukaryota; Viridiplantae; Streptophyta; Magnoliopsida; Apiales; Araliaceae.
GAAUCCUUUCUAUAGCAAACAAUUUUUAAUAAGCCAUAUAUAAAUUUUUUCAGUGACAUAACAUCUUAAAGUUAAUAGUCAGACAGGAAGCCAAACAAUGGGUCAACCCAUGUGCUCGAAUCUCGAUUAUAUAAAAAUAAAUAUUUGAAGCUACUCAAACUGCAAGGGACAUCACAACUACCAGCAACUUGUCACUAUAAUUGGUGAGCUGUGAAAACAUGUUUUAAAAUCCCUAAAGAUAUUAGUGUCUGAGUAUUUCUAAGAGAGUAUAUUAACAUCAAUUAUAACAUAACUUAUCAUUCCCACCUUCUUCUCUCUCCUGCUUAUGCAGCUUUUCCUUUGGUGCAGAAUCGACUGGAGCUGCUUCAAUAUGGAAAUCUACAUAGUGGAAUUAUUUAAUAUAAAGAUACUCAGCAGGAAAAGGCCAUAUUACUAAACACUGCAAGCC